This 1312-nucleotide long non-coding RNA is filed under the name Struthio camelus australis. RNAcentral describes it as "lncRNA (ENSSCUG00000012556.1)". The record is from RNAcentral. Lineage: Eukaryota; Metazoa; Chordata; Aves; Struthioniformes; Struthionidae.
GGUCCUUCUCCAUUAAUUCCAGGGGAAAAUCAAAGAGAUCUUGAAGCUUAUGUAAGUUUAAAUCAGAGAAGAGAUAAAAGAUUUGGAAUAAAUAUUCCAAAGCUGCAGUGUUAGAAGGAGAAUAAAAAUUCUUCAUCCUUGAAUGGCUGUAGCUGUGCCAUGGUUGUGAUUCAUUACCAGAACAAGAACAAACACGUUUUUGAAGGCUGCACAUUCCCUGUAACUGAAAUAUAACAAGGCAGAGAACAUUGUGCCUCUACCUCCAAACCAGGAUUAGACUUUAUCUUCAGACUAAGGAUUCUACCACUGGCCGUUUUACUGAUUUGAUUGGUGGAAAAUGUAGAUGGUUUGGAUCACAUACAGUUGGCGUGACUUGUACAGCUUCUUUGACGAUGUUGUUACCACAACUGCCAUAGCACUUUCCUGUGUAGAUAGCAUUGUUAGGCCACAGACUCAAAUCUGCCAUAAACAGCGGACAACAUCUUCACAAGAAAGAACCACAAUCCUACAGCAAAGCCCAAGGAUAAAUGCAGUCUGUUCAUGGAAGAAAAGCUACCUGGCAAAAGGAUUAUUCUUAAACUAGAUCAUUUCAAUGGCCUCAACCGGCAGAGUGGUGAACUGCAGUGAAACAUGACGACCGGAGGAAGACAGAAAAGACUUCUUAAACAGCUUGCUACAGAAGAGAGCCACAUCUUCAGGCAUACAGCGGUGUCUAUAAGAACUUGCUAAAUACUGCCGGUGUCCUUGCAGCCUUGCUCUCUAGUCUUUAACUAAAUCAGAUGCUAUCAGACUCCUCAUUAAGUUUAGAAAGUCUGUGAAGGGGAGGUAGGAAACUCUUCAGACAGCCUUACCUGACAGUUAGGGAAGUGUUAAUUUUCCUUGUCUUUUGCCUAGCCACAGGUAGGCAUUGUUUGCCAUUAAUUUUAAGCUGCCUGCUAAUACUUAAAUUAAAACUCUUCAGAGACUUUAUUUUUUAGUGCUUGAGAAGUCAUUUGACAGCUCAUGAAGUGGCAGGUGAGUACUGGCAAGAUUGAAGACUAGGUGUUGUCCAAGGGCAAAUGUACUUGGCAAGGAAAUCAAGCAAAUUUGCAACUAAAACAGCUGGUCAUGACAUGCUAUACUUAAAGUAAAUGACACUUAGGGUGGCCCAUUCUAACUAUAUAAGGAGCCAAGUACAAGCUUGCUCUAUGUGCAUUGCCAGACUUUUAUCCGGGGGAGGAGGGGGGUAAUGGGAGGAAGGGUAGAACGAAGAGAUAAAGAUGAUAUGCGGUCUCAGAAUAAAGGGUUUUGAAAGACUGAUGGCCUAGGUUUC